AGGGCUCGCAGGCGGUUUCUUAAGUCUGAUGUGAAAGCCCCCGGCUCAACCGGGGAGGGUCAUUGGAAACUGGGGAACUUGAGUGCAGAAGAGGAGAGUGGAAUUCCACGUGUAGCGGUGAAAUGCGUAGAGAUGUGGAGGAACACCAGUGGCGAAGGCGACUCUCUGGUCUGUAACUGACGCUGAGGAGCGAAAGCGUGGGGAGCGAACAGGAUUAGAUACCCUGGUAGUCCACGCCGUAAACGAUGAGUGCUAAGUGUUAGGGGGUUUCCGCCCCUUAGUGCUGCAGCUAACGCAUUAAGCACUCCGCCUGGGGAGUACGGUCGCAAGACUGAAACUCAAAGGAAUUGACGGGGGCCCGCACAAGCGGUGGAGCAUGUGGUUUAAUUCGAAGCAACGCGAAGAACCUUACCAGGUCUUGACAUCCUCUGACAAUCCUAGAGAUAGGACGUCCCCUUCGGGGGCAGAGUGACAGGUGGUGCAUGGUUGUCGUCAGCUCGUGUCGUGAGAUGUUGGGUUAAGUCCCGCAACGAGCGCAACCCUUGAUCUUAGUUGCCAGCAUUCAGUUGGGCACUCUAAGGUGACUGCCGGUGACAAACCGGAGGAAGGUGGGGAUGACGUCAAAUCAUCAUGCCCCUUAUGACCUGGGCUACACACGUGCUACAAUGGGCAGAACAAAGGGCAGCGAGACCGCGAGGUUAAGCCAAUCCCACUAAUCUGUUCUCAGUUCGGAUCGCAGUCUGCAACUCGACUGCGUGAAGCUGGAAUCGCUAGUAAUCGCGGAU
Molecule: ribosomal RNA, 785 nt
Filed under: Bacillus subtilis
Lineage: Bacteria; Bacillati; Bacillota; Bacilli; Caryophanales; Bacillaceae
Description: bacterial SSU rRNA
Rfam family: Bacterial small subunit ribosomal RNA
Source: RNAcentral